CUACUUGCCUCCCUCAAAUGACAUCAUCAUUACGCGCCAGAAAGUAAAGCAAAGACUACAAACCAGCGCUUGCGCUCAAAAAGAAACUUAUCUCCUUUGAAUUGACUGCAUCAGAUAAACACGCGAUUUAUGUGGUGAAUCAACGACUAAAGAGUGUGAAAAUGUUUGCAAGGAUCACAGCAAAGCACGUGGAGGAAAAAGACAGUAGUCGUCGACGACUGAAAGAUCUUUGGCUGCAGCCUUAUGUUCUGUUACGCAGAGCUGACAUUAGUGAAGUAAUUGGUGGUAAGCAGCAGGAGCCAGAGUGCAGUCGCCUUAAAGAGGAAGAUGUGGUCAAAGAGCUCCACCCCUUGGAUGAACAAAUGGAGCAGACAUUUCUUUGCACCAUAAAAAAGGAGGUGACGAAGACCACUGUGGAGGAGCACAAGCAGCUCCACCAUCAGAUAGUGAUGACAUGUCAUCAGAUGCUCCUUCUGGUGAUGAUGAUGCGUCUCAAAACAAACGCACGCAAUGUUCUCAGUGUGGGAAAUGUUAUGCUAAUAAGACUGCUUUGAAUCGACACAUGAAAUCGCACGCAGAGAAAAGGUUUUCCUGCUCAGAUUGUGGCCAAAAAUUCCAUUGGAGUUUCACUUUAAAAAGGCACCGAAAAACCCACACUGGCGAAACAUCUUUUUCGUGCUCAUAUUGUGGCCAAAAAUUCUCUCGGAGAGAACAUUUAAAAACCCACACAACAAUGCACACUGGCGAGAAACCUUUUUCAUGCGCACUCUGUGGCAUAAAAUUCAAUCAGAGGAAUCAUUUAAAAAGGCACACAAUGAUCCACACUGACGAGAAACCUUUUUCAUGCUCACUCUGUGGCCAAAAAUUCUCUCAGAAGGCAAAUUUAAGAACACACACAAGAACCCACACUAAGGAGAAACCUUAUUCAUGCGCAGUUUGUGGCCAAAGAUUUUCAGCGAACGGAAUUCUAACAGUUCAUGCAAGAAUCCACACUGGUGAGAAACCGUUUUCAUGCUCAGUUUGUGGGGAAAGAUUUUCAGCAAAGGCAAGCUUAGAAAUGCACACAAGCAUCCACACUGGUGAGAAACCUUUUUCAUGCUCAGUUUGUGGCCAGAAAUUCUCUGAGAAGAAAGUUUUAAUACAUCAUGAAAGAAUCCACACAGGGGAGAAACCUCUUUCCUGCUCAGUCUGUGGCCAAGUAUUUUCUAAGAAGAGAUCUUUAAAACUUCAUGCAAAAAUCCACACUGGGGAGAAACUUUUUUCCUGCUCAGUUUGAGGCCAAACAUUCUCUGAGAAGCAAUCUGUAAAACGUCAUACAAAAAUCCAUACUGGGGAGAAACCCUUUUCCUGCUCGAUUUGUGGCCAAAAAUUCUUUAAGAAGCAAUCUCUAAAACGUCAUACAAAAAUCCAUACUGGGGAGAAACCUUUUUCAUGCUCAGUUUGUGGCCAGAAAUUCUCCCAGAAAAGAAAUCUAACACGUCAACAAGAACCCAGGCUGGUGAGAAACCUUUUUCAUGCUCAGUUUGUGGCAAAGUAUUCUCUCAGAAGGGAAAUCUAACACGUCAUACAAGAACCCACACUGGUGAGAAACCUUUUUCAUGCUCAGUUUGUGGCCAGGUAUUCUCUGAGAAGAAAUUUCUAACACGUCAUACAAGAACCCACACUGGGGAGAAACCUUUUUCAUGCUCAGUUUGUGGCCAAAAAUUCUCUGAGAAGUAACCUCUAAUAUGUCAUACAAGAGUCCACACUGGGGAGAAACCUUUUUUAUGCUCAGUUUGUGGCCAAGUGUUCUCUCGGAAGGGAACUCUAACACGAACCUAUUGAGAAUUUCGAGUGUGUUGAGGAGAUGAGCGAUGAUCCGUGAAGUUUUCAUCUUCUGUUUGAGCAGACUUCAUGAGUUUUUGCAUCAAUGAGAAUUCUAUGUACCUUUUGAUUGGGAUGCUGAACUCCUUUUCUUCACCACAGUGAGAAGUUCAUAUUUCCGUUGUAAUUAUUUUGAGAAUACGGUAAUCCCUCGCUACAUCGCGGCUUUGUACAUUGCAGACUUUUUUCCAAAUUGAAAAUAAAUAAAUAAAAACUCACAAAUUGGAAAUAGAACUUCUGAAUUGAGGAAUUACGGCAUGAAAGUCGCCCACACGUCAACAGAAGGCAGGGAUUGUCCACACAAUUGCAGAAUGUACACUUGUACCUUUUUAUACAAAAAAAUAUCAUUUUUAAGUUCUAAAAAUAUAUUUUCAAUAUUGUACCUUAUGUUUUUUUUUAUAAUUAAUAAGAGUUCCAAAAAACAUAUUUACAGUAUGUACACUUGUAUCUUGUUAUAAAAAAGUUAUUAUAAUAAAAGCAUUCUAAAAACAUA
Syngnathus typhle (broad-nosed pipefish) is the source of this 2356-nucleotide long non-coding RNA. RefSeq lists it as uncharacterized. Lineage: Eukaryota; Metazoa; Chordata; Actinopteri; Syngnathiformes; Syngnathidae. The record is from RefSeq and is a predicted model, not a curated record. The transcript has 3 exons.